Molecule: ribosomal RNA, 253 nt
Filed under: uncultured bacterium
Lineage: Bacteria
Description: partial 16S ribosomal RNA
Rfam family: Bacterial small subunit ribosomal RNA
Source: RNAcentral
UACGGAGGGUGCAAGCGUUAAUCGGAAUUACUGGGCGUAAAGCGUACGCAGGCGGUCUGUUAAGUCAGAUGUGAAAUCCCCGGGCUUAACCUGGGAACUGCAUUUGAAACUGGCAGGCUAGAGUCUCGUAGAGGGGGGUAGAAUUCCAGGUGUAGCGGUGAAAUGCGUAGAGAUCUGGAGGAAUACCGGUGGCGAAGGCGGCCCCCUGGACGAAGACUGACGCUCAGGUACGAAAGCGUGGGGAGCAAACAGG